GAUGAACGCUGGCGGCGUGCCUAAUACAUGCGAGUCGAGCGAACAGACGAGGAGCUUGCUCCUCUGACGUUAGCGGCGGACGGGUGAGUAACACGUGGAUAACCUACCUAUAAGACUGGGAUAACUUCGGGAAACCGGAGCUAAUACCGGAUAAUAUAUUGAACCGCAUGGUUCAAUAGUGAAAGACGGUUUUGCUGUCACUUAUAGAUGGAUCCGCGCCGCAUUAGCUAGUUGGUAAGGUAACGGCUUACCAAGGCGACGAUGCGUAGCCGACCUGAGAGGGUGAUCGGCCACACUGGAACUGGGACACGGUCCAGACUCCUACGGGAGGCAGCAGUAGGGAAUCUUCCGCAAUGGGCGAAAGCCUGACGGAGCAACGCCGCGUGAGUGAUGAAGGUCUUCGGAUCGUAAAACUCUGUUAUUAGGGAAGAACAAAUGUGUAAGUAACUAUGCACGUCUUGACGGUACCUAAUCAGAAAGCCACGGCUAACUACGUG
RNAcentral lists this ribosomal RNA (497 nucleotides) under uncultured bacterium. RNAcentral describes it as "partial 16S ribosomal RNA". It matches the Rfam family "Bacterial small subunit ribosomal RNA", at positions 28 to 507 of the family's 1533-position model. The record is from RNAcentral.